This is a long non-coding RNA of Musa acuminata AAA Group (dessert banana), 3444 nucleotides long. RefSeq lists it as uncharacterized. The transcript has 4 exons. The record is from RefSeq and is a predicted model, not a curated record. Lineage: Eukaryota; Viridiplantae; Streptophyta; Magnoliopsida; Zingiberales; Musaceae.
UGCCCUACCUCCCCCUCCGCCAGCCACGUCCACCGUCGCCGACUUGGCUCCGCCGCCGUUCCCGUCCGGCACCACCCCGAACUCCGAGAACGAGACCUGCGCCGAUCGCCACACGGACAUCAAAUCUCGUAAGACAUGGGGAUGUAGGAGGGCUUGGAUCCGACCAAGUCGAGCUCGAAGACGCCAUCGGGCGGGGGAAACGGCCCGGGAGGCGGCGCACCGCCGUCCCCCACGGUAGCUUUGGCGUGAACCGGGACGACGCCGUCUCCCUGCUGGUAUCGCUCGUCCAUCGAUGUGGCAUGCUCCAGAUCCAGGUACGUUUCUACGUCCGAGAAGAAGUGGUCCACCUGUUUGCCGUCCGGCUUUUUCAUCAAGCCAUUAGCACAAAGAUUGGGGAGGAGCCAGGAGGCGGCGGCGGAGGCGAGGGGCUCGAGGAAGGGGACGACGGCGGCGCGUUCGUGGCGGAGGGCGAGGGGGUUGGCGGAGUGGAUGUCGGCGUCGCAGGCGGCGCAGAUUGCGGCGGCGUCGGCCUUGCAGGUAACACUGGCGGGGGCCUGCUCGCAGACCUCGCACACCCACACGCGCCCGUGGCGCGGCCGCGCCCCGUGCAAGCGCGCGUCGCACUCGCCGCACAGGUAGUCACCGUCCGCACGGCAGUAGAGCAGGGCCGGGGCGGACUUGCAAGAGUCGCACCGCCGCGCCCCGACUGCGAUCCAAUACCCGUCUUUCUCGCUCGCCAUCUCCCUCUCUCUCGUCUUCCUCCUGUUGGUUUCGGUUUACAUUAAGCCCGUCAUUUUAGUUAUUGUGGGAAUCAGAGUGGCUAGGUGUUGAGGCGAGGCGGGCCACGUGUCCAGAUCAGGAGCCACGAAAUAAGCGAAAAUAUUUUAGCUAAACCAAACUGGAUUGUCGCCGAGUGGGCCCUGGCCAGUCGGCCCUCACCAUCACGGGGCCCACAAGUUAGAACACCGAGUUCGGCUGCUCCCGUACGGAUCACGGGGUGGCGCGCGGAUGGUCAGGACGGUUGGCAUUAGCGAACGUGUUAGCGUAGGGCAUGCUUUGAUCGUCGAGCGAAACCUCAUGUUUCUAUUCAUCGCGUUCCGUAAUUAAAUAUGUACGGAAAAAACUAAAAAUCUAUUUAGUGAGUCGCAAAGGGAAAAAAAAGAGAAAAGAAAAGGAUCGGAUGUGAUUUUCCAUUGGUGGGUGAUCCGAUUGUUAAACCACUGGAAAGCUCGGUUAGAAGAUGGUCGCGUGGGAUUUUUAUCCUUUUUUGUUUUUGAGCUUGUCACAUUCAUCGUUUUUAAUUUCCUUCAAGUUUCUCUGGGCACGUCCCUUUUGCGUGUGAGUGGGACUCGGAUGUCCCACAAGGGUUUCACACUCGGUCUGGUGAUUUGGUUGCCGUCGCGCUACUGCAACGGGAUCCUUUACAGGAUAGGUGGUAAAGUGUACGCCCGGUGUGUGUGACGUGUUGGUCAUCCGUUUCAGGGGUCGCGUGGAUCAAUCGUGUAGAUGCACGGGAAUGCGGGUUCCGGGCACGCGACACUCCGAGAUGACCGCAGCGGAUCCGACAGUUGGUCGUUGAACAGGUCACAGGGCGUCGCGUCUUAGUGGGCCGGGAGAAAGGGACGCGCGUGGGGAAUAGGACUUGGGACAUAUCACACGCGGUCCCGAUGGGAUGGGAUGGGAUGGGAAGGGAUUUCAUUCCUGCGCUGGCAACGGAUUGGGUUGUGUUGGGUUGAAUAGAUUUGUCUUGUCGUUCUCCCUAGUAUACGUGUUGUCAAAUGCAAGGUCCACAUGUAUAAUGGUUGGUAGAUUAAUUGAAGACUGCAUGCUUUUAAACUAGGAUCCAUGACUGGUGGAGUUUCAGCGGACUGUAAUUGGUGCAGUCCCACUGAUGAACUAUAUAGUCCAUGAAUUCAAAUAAGAAGAGAAUUGGAUGGGGCUCAGUAAACAUUCCCUUAAUCUGCAAAUAUAUCGAGAUAUUGAUUGGUGUAAACUUAUUUAUUCAAAAGGGUAGAGGGAUAUAAAUCAGAUAUAGAAUAAGAUUCUAUGUAAUUGUAUAUUCAAAUGACAUGUAAUUUUAUUUUUCCUCGUAAAGCAGUUAAAAAUUGUUCUUCCUACAUUACAAAAGUUCACCUCUUAAUCUCAGCGGCAGAGUUCGAGACCAAGUUGAAUGAACUCUUCAAGCGUCCAGUGAUGCUUGCCCCAAUUCCUUCACCAACCUGUAAAGGUUUAGUUGGCCUGCCUGAAUCGUCGAAACAAAUUACUUCAUGUCUCUGUUUGAGUCAGAUCCAAUUAGUAUUUGGGAUGAUUGACCCGUGAAUUUUAGUCAUGUAAAGCAUCUUUCAUCUCGUGCACCACUGUCCUUUUUGUUACUAGAAUGCUGCUGUAGGGACACUCUACUCUAUACAGCAAUCCAAUUUCAUGACCAAGUAUGAAGUCCUUCAAUUUUAGGCUGUGGCUAACUCAAACAUGUGGUUGUUGGUAGUGAAUUGAUUCAGAAAUAUUUGGGCGAUGGUUACAAACUUUUCAAGGAACUCUUUAGAGCACCAAUUCUGACUCUCCUUGUAGACUUUAUUGAUGAGAUCGAUACAUAUGGGACUAAAAGGUGCUUGAAUGAAUGUAGUGGUUAUAUAUGGCCAAUUUUUUGUUCGUCUUUAAUGAUGCUUAAUGUGAUUAACAUGUUAACUUUGGGGAUAUUCUAGAUAUGAUGUCAAUUCUGGUGGAGAAAUUGAAAUUCAAAGAACAGCGUCAGAAUUGCUGAACCGCUGGACAAAUUUAUAUGGCCUUGACAUGAGAGACGAUGUCGUAUCGAUUCUUGCCUUUAAAGAAUCAAAAGCCUUUGAUCCAGCUUCGCUUUGGCCUGGCCAUUUGGGAAGAUUGAAUUUCCUCUGACUUACAUUAGGAUGAUGACAUAUUUUUCAGGAUGAGUUUUCUGGAGAUGAUAUCAUGGCAAUCGGUUCAUAAGAGGAUGAGUUUUCUGGAGAUGAUAUCAUGGCAAUCGGUUCAUAAGAGGAUGAGUUUUCUGGAGAUGAUAUCAUGGCAAUCUGUUCAUAAGCAGGCCUGCUCGCUUCAAAAGAACACAGAACGAAAGAAUGAUCGUCCCUACUGCAAGCAUCUGUGUUUUUCUUUGGUAGCAGCAUUAAAAUUGUUAUAUGAUGCAAAAGAAGGCCAUUCACAGAAACCAAAAAAGAGAAAACAUGGCAGGGCCAGCUUUAACUGUAGCUAAUGGCAAGGGGGAGGUACCUCCAUAUGUGUCUCAACCUUUCAAUCUCGGCUGAUUGCCUACUGCCCCGAUUGCAACAGUGGGGAGACCAGCCAUGGUGUGUGUGGUUUGGUUGUUUGUUGGCACAGAGGUCCAGUUUUGACUAUGCUCUAACCUUGUGGUUUUCAGUAUUACCAACUCUGUGAUUGUAAAAUCCAACUCUGUGAUGCUUAUUCUUCUUA